Molecule: ribosomal RNA, 497 nt
Filed under: uncultured bacterium
Lineage: Bacteria
Description: partial 16S ribosomal RNA
Rfam family: Bacterial small subunit ribosomal RNA
Source: RNAcentral
GAUGAACGCUGGCGGCGUGCCUAAUACAUGCAAGUCGAGCGAACGGACGAGAAGCUUGCUUCUCUGAUGUUAGCGGCGGACGGGUGAGUAACACGUGGAUAACCUACCUAUAAGACUGGGAUAACUCCGGGAAACCGGAGCUAAUACCGGAUGAUAUUUUGAACCGCAUGGUUCAAAAGUGAAAGACGGUCUUGCUGUCACUUAUAGAUGGAUCCGCGCUGCAUUAGCUAGUUGGUAAGGUAACGGCUUACCAAGGCAACGAUGCAUAGCCGACCUGAGAGGGGGAUCGGCCACACUGGAACUGAGACACGGUCCAGACUCCUACGGGAGGCAUCAGUAGGGAAUCUUCCGCAAUGGGCGAAAGCCUGACGGAGCAACGCCGCGUGAGUGAUGAAGGUCUUCGGAUCGUAAAACUCUGUUAUUAGGGAAGAACAUAUGUGUAAGUAACUGUGCACAUCUUGACGGUACCUAAUCAGAAAGCCACGGCUAACUACGUG